This 1297-nucleotide ribosomal RNA is filed under the name Salmonella enterica. RNAcentral's name for it is "partial 23S ribosomal RNA". It matches the Rfam family "Bacterial large subunit ribosomal RNA", at positions 681 to 1874 of the family's 2925-position model. The record is from RNAcentral. RNAcentral also lists the same sequence under 1 other name. Lineage: Bacteria; Pseudomonadati; Pseudomonadota; Gammaproteobacteria; Enterobacterales; Enterobacteriaceae.
GUCUUAACCGGGCGUUAAGUUGCAGGGUAUAGACCCGAAACCCGGUGAUCUAGCCAUGGGCAGGUUGAAGGUUGGGUAACACUAACUGGAGGACCGAACCGACUAAUGUUGAAAAAUUAGCGGAUGACCUGUGGCUGGGGGUGAAAGGCCAAUCAAACCGGGAGAUAGCUGGUUCUCCCCGAAAGCUAUUUAGGUAGCGCCUCGUGAAUUCAUCUCCGGGGGUAGAGCACUGUUUCGGCUAGGGGGCCAUCCCGGCUUACCAACCCGAUGCAAACUGCGAAUACCGGAGAAUGUUAUCACGGGAGACACACGGCGGGUGCUAACGUCCGUCGUGAAGAGGGAAACAACCCAGACCGCCAGCUAAGGUCCCAAAGUCAUGGUUAAGUGGGAAACGAUGUGGGAAGGCCCAGACAGCCAGGAUGUUGGCUUAGAAGCAGCCAUCAUUUAAAGAAAGCGUAAUAGCUCACUGGUCGAGUCGGCCUGCGCGGAAGAUGUAACGGGGCUAAACCAUGCACCGAAGCUGCGGCAGCGAACGUAUCACCCAAGACAACUUUACGGAGUUGACGAUUGACGGAGCGAAGCGACGUCAAAGCGUUCAUUAAAGUCGAGUUGGCUUAGGGAUACGUUCGUUGGGUAGGGGAGCGUUCUGUAAGCCUGUGAAGGUGUGUCGUGAGGCAUGCUGGAGGUAUCAGAAGUGCGAAUGCUGACAUAAGUAACGAUAAAGCGGGUGAAAAGCCCGCUCGCCGGAAGACCAAGGGUUCCUGUCCAACGUUAAUCGGGGCAGGGUGAGUCGACCCCUAAGGCGAGGCCGAAAGGCGUAGUCGAUGGGAAACGGGUUAAUAUUCCCGUACUUGGUGUUACUGCGAAGGGGGGACGGAGAAGGCUAUGUUGGCCGGGCGACGGUUGUCCCGGUUUAAGCGUGUAGGUGUGUGUUCCAGGUAAAUCCGGUUCACUUUAACACUGAGGCGUGACGACGAGGCACUACGGUGCUGAAGCAACAAAUGCCCUGCUUCCAGGAAAAGCCUCUAAGCAUCAGGUAACACGAAAUCGUACCCCAAACCGACACAGGUGGUCAGGUAGAGAAUACCAAGGCGCUUGAGAGAACUCGGGUGAAGGAACUAGGCAAAAUGGUGCCGUAACUUCGGGAGAAGGCACGCUGACACGUAGGUGAAGUGAUUUACUCAUGGAGCUGAAGUCAGUCGAAGAUACCAGCUGGCUGCAACUGUUUAUUAAAAACACAGCACUGUGCAAACACGAAAGUGGACGUAUACGGUGUGACGCCUGCCCGGUGCCGGAA